RNAcentral lists this non-coding RNA (76 nucleotides) under Caenorhabditis japonica. RNAcentral describes it as "Eukaryotic large subunit ribosomal RNA". It matches the Rfam family "Eukaryotic large subunit ribosomal RNA", at positions 1 to 77 of the family's 3401-position model. Lineage: Eukaryota; Metazoa; Nematoda; Chromadorea; Rhabditida; Rhabditidae. The record is from Rfam by way of RNAcentral.
CAACCUGAACUCAGUCGUGAUUCCCGCUGAACUUAAGCAUAUCAUUUAGCGGAGGAAAAGAAACUAAAAAGGAUUC